RNAcentral lists this transfer RNA (90 nucleotides) under Caudoviricetes sp. RNAcentral describes it as "tRNA-Ser". It matches the Rfam family "tRNA". From Rfam's summary of the family: Transfer RNA (tRNA) molecules are approximately 80 nucleotides in length. Their secondary structure includes four short double-helical elements and three loops (D, anti-codon, and T loops). Further hydrogen bonds mediate the characteristic L-shaped molecular structure. tRNAs have two regions of fundamental functional importance: the anti-codon, which is responsible for specific mRNA codon recognition, and the 3' end, to which the tRNAs corresponding amino acid is attached (by aminoacyl-tRNA synthetases). tRNAs cope with the degeneracy of the genetic code in two manners: having more than one tRNA (with a specific anti-codon) for a particular amino acid; and 'wobble' base-pairing, i.e. permitting non-standard base-pairing at the 3rd anti-codon position. Lineage: Duplodnaviria; Heunggongvirae; Uroviricota; Caudoviricetes. The record is from RNAcentral.
GGAAAGUUGGCAGAGUCUGGUUUAAUGCGACAGUCUUGAAAACUGUUGAACAAAAAUGUUCCGUGGGUUCAAAUCCCACACUUUCCUCCA